CGCGGAAGAGAGGCUGAGGGCGGCUGCCGAGGAGGAGUGGAUGAGGAUGGACGAAAUAAGGAGGGAAGCCAGGAAAGGUGCAAAGGAGGUGGUGAGUGUUGGGGCUGUGGCAACAGAGGUGUUGUUUGAGGAGGAGGAAGAUGUGGUGGACGAGGAGAGGAAGAGGGAGCGGGAGAAGGAAGAAAGGGAGAGGAAAGAAAAGGAGAGGGAGUUUGUGGUGCAUGUGCCAUUGCCAGAUGAGAAGGAAAUUGAGAGGAUGGUGUUGGAGAAGAAGAAGUUGGAGUUGUUGAGUAAGUAUGCCAGUAAUACGUUGCUGGAGGAGCAGAGUGAGGCCAAGGCCAUGCUUAACAUUCAGCGCUAGAUAAUGAUAUGGAGAAGCUAUGAUAUGGAUAAGAAAAUGCAUGUUGAUGGUGCCACCAAAUUUGGGGCUUGUGAUGUAACCCCAUUUAAUCUGCUAGAUUCCCUAGCUGUCUUUAUGUUCCAAGAAAGUAGAUUUUUUAGAGUACAGACUCAGCCUUCCCGGUGGUUCUUAAGUAGGUUGGAUGCGCAGGAAAGAGAUUGUUCAAAGUUGAAAUUGAAGAUGGUGUGAGGAGUGGAAAUUGAAGAAUCAUAUCACACUGAUUGAUAAAUCCUAUUAUCUGAAAUCAAGUUAUUGAUCUUAUUGUUAUUGAAGCUCUUUGAAAUUAAUUGAUCUUCUUUGUGCACUCUUCUUCUUCUUUUUCUUUUCUUCUUUCUUUGUAUGGGGGAUUGUAUAAUGGAUUGGGAAUUCUCAUUUUUGUCUCAGCAAGCUUUUUGCAGUGCUUAAAAUCAAUAAAUUUAGGAUUACUUAGAGUUUUUAAAAACAAUAAGAUCAAUAACUUGAUUU
RNAcentral lists this unclassified non-coding RNA (865 nucleotides) under Hevea brasiliensis (rubber tree). Lineage: Eukaryota; Viridiplantae; Streptophyta; Magnoliopsida; Malpighiales; Euphorbiaceae. The record is from RNAcentral.